UAAAGAAUGGGUGAAUUGGAUUAAACCGCUAAAUUGUAAAUUUAGUUCUUCUUAGAUUGCAAGUUCGAGUCUUGCUUCUUUAA
This 83-nucleotide transfer RNA is filed under the name Phaeocystis rex. Its description in RNAcentral is "tRNA-Tyr". It matches the Rfam family "tRNA". Rfam says of the family: Transfer RNA (tRNA) molecules are approximately 80 nucleotides in length. Lineage: Eukaryota; Haptophyta; Phaeocystales; Phaeocystaceae. The record is from RNAcentral.